Molecule: non-coding RNA, 1257 nt
Organism: Myxocyprinus asiaticus (Chinese sucker)
Lineage: Eukaryota; Metazoa; Chordata; Actinopteri; Cypriniformes; Catostomidae
Source: the annotation of a RefSeq genome assembly
CUUAAACCUCUAAAAUAAAGAUAAAAUGUAAUAUAUAUAUAUAUAUGAUAAAGUAUAUCAAAAAUAUAAAUCUGACUCCUUUUGUUAUUACAACAUUAAAGUCGUACAAACAUCAUGUUUUCAUAUAUUACUCAACAGGUAAUAAAGAUAUACAGAUUCAUUGAUUGUAUCCUCACAGAGAGCAGGAAGUUCAUGAGUGGCUUCAUGACUUCAGAAAUUCAAUUACAGCCCACAUUACUGGCAGCAUUAAUACAGAACUGAUCUGACCUGAUUCAACAUGAACAAAUGCAUCCUGCUGGUUUCCAUUAUGGCAUCAGGUGUGAUGGCUGUGGACAAAAUUGAGCCAAAUAAAGGGACCAGUAUCAUCAGAACAGAGGAAAUAACCACAAUGUUGAGCUGCUCGUAUGAUUCUAAUAGUGACAAUGUACGGCUUUACUGGUACAGGCAAUAUCCCAAUGAGGAACCUCAGUAUGUGUUAUAUGAACAGGCUCAAUCCAGCAGUUAUAAGCACACAUCUGAUCCUCGAUUUCAGUCAACAACCUCUCGCACAUCCACUGAACUCAUUAUUAAUGUUGUAACUCUGUCAGAUUCAGCCCUCUAUUACUGUGCUCUAAGAGUAGGAGCCCAGUGAUACAAAACAUGAAUUAAGUCGCACAAAAACUGAAAGGCCUUUUUUGUACUGUCAAAUUAAAACCUCAACGUGUCAUGAUAAUAUGUGGUAACACCUGUGUGAGGUUGAGUCAAAAAUAUUAAGAAAGGAAUAAAUGGGCUGUCAAAGCUUGCCUUGAAUAAGGUACAAAUAAAUUGUUAACUUAGAGGUGGUAGCUCAAGAAUGACCACGUCACAUCUCUUAUAUCAGAGUCAAAGUUCAUAUAUUAAAGAAAUAUCCUUGGUUAAAUUCAUUUGUAUUUGUUCCACUCUGUUGACAACAUAUGUGGCUUACUAUAUUGAUUAGCACAGAAAGUAAUGUUGGCUCAUCCCUCAAAUUGUAAAAGCAAAUGAAAACAUGUUUAUAACGCCCUUACCCAUUUUGUGCCAUUGAAACUAUAUCUACUGCACAGAAAUGAACCUGGGGCCAACAUUACAGAAACUACCUGAGAUCCUAGCUGAAAUGGCCAAUGUUACAAAACAGAUUCUAAAGUAAGGUUGUAUUAUGACCCACUAAAUGACAAUUUAAUAUGUUUUACACAAUGUGAAUGAUGUGACAUUAUUAUUAUGUUUUUAUAUUAUUGUUAUGUCACACUUGCAGGAAAUCCA